RNAcentral lists this long non-coding RNA (1904 nucleotides) under Equus caballus (horse). RNAcentral describes it as "lncRNA (ENSECAG00000052716.1)". The record is from RNAcentral. Lineage: Eukaryota; Metazoa; Chordata; Mammalia; Perissodactyla; Equidae.
CUCAGGAUGAUAGUAAAGAUAGAUGGCAGCUGUGCAGCAUGCCUGGCACAAAACCAGUACAGAGUAGAGCAAGAGCCUGAAGGACUUCCAGGUUGCUGAACAUGUUGCAUCUCAAGCCUGUCAUACGUAGACAAUGCCUGACAUCAAGGCAGGAGAAGGAAGAAAACCCAAAAAGCAGGCCCAGCCCUGAGCCACCAAGCUGCAAUGGAUGUUCAUAAUGAUGACCUUGGGUUAUAAUGAAAAAGUUAAAUUGUGUCCUUUGCUUUAAAAAGUAGAGGGGUGAAUAGUAUUGUUUUUGAGUGAUUUUCCCCCAAAUAAUUAAUAUUUUGGGAAAAGUCUUGGUUCUUAAAGGGGAAAACGUCCGUUAUCUGGAAUAUGCAGAACACUGCAUUCCCAAUACUGUUAGGUACAUGAGGUGUCUCUGUACUAACGUUCUGACAUACUGGUAUGGUCAGGUGAGAUGACAUAACUUUCCUGUUUUGCAGGAUCCCAUAAGUGGACCAAGAGAAGAGGAAACUAUUCCAGCAUGCUAUCGCUGGCUCCUCCCAGCUCUGCUUAGAACUCAUCAUGGGCUGCUCUACGCUUGGCUGUCUGGUUCUUAUGAACAGCUAUGUCAGUAUCCCUACGUUGGAGAAAUGAUCAAGGAGAGUCUCCCUGGACACCACAUCCAUACAUUGAUGAUAAUAAAAGUAUUUAGAUUAAUGAUAGUAACCAUUUUGAGUGUCUGCUCUGGGCCAAGGCACUGUGCUAGGCACUUGCAUUUAUUAUUUCCUUUAAUCCUCUCAAUUACACCACUGGGGUAAGCAUUGUUAUGCUCAUUAUACAGAUAAGAAAACCAAAGUUUUAUUAAUUUAUUGAGCUCAAGUAAGUUGCUCAAGAUUACAGGGAGAGUAAGCAGUUGAGGCACAGAUUUGCAGCAUCAAUGUUUUUCCAAAAUCCAUAUCUUUUUCAGACGAUUUCAUUGCCUUAGGCCACGAUAGGCAGGGAAGAUACCCUGGACAGCUGGGGGUCUUCAUACAUGGAGACAGAAUUGAGAACAACUACUGUAAAUAUAAUAUUGUAAAGUUAAGUUAAUUAAUAUAUCUUUGCUUCCAUAACACAUUAUCUUUCAACACAACAGAGUGGAAUCACCUAGGGGAGAACUGACAUUUGUUGAGAAGAGGAAAUGCGUUAAGCACAUUGCAUACUGUAUCAGUCAAAAUGAAGUCAGAAAAACAGAAAUUAUGCUAGGUAUUUCAACCAGAGGGUAUUUAAUAUAAUGAGUGGAUUUCACAGGAGUUGGAACAUCCAAAAGGAGACAGUGAGUAAAUACAGAAAGCAACCUGAAGGCUGCAGGGGACAAAAGGAAAGACGUGGAACCAGAACCUAGGAAGGCAGAGGAAGGGCCACCACCUUAGGAGCUGGGCUGCUGCAGGGCCAUCGUGUACCUGGUACUGGACUGCCAAGGGGGCACUGUGUGGCUGGUGAGGGAACCUCUGAGAAAGUGGCUUGACACUGGUGGCAGCAGUGUCAAAAGAUGCCAGAGUUGUAACUGUCCAAAAGAAUGUGGAAGGAGGAAGAGAGUCCCUCUCUACUCCUGCCUCCCAGUCCCCCAGUUGUGCCUCCUGAUUGCAGACCCUGACUGGAAAUCAGCUAGCAAGGGAAUCUGGGAAAUAUAAUUGUCAGACUCCAAGCCCACAGCAUUACAAAUAAAAGUAUAGAAGUGUGUGCAUGGAACAGAGAGAUAAUAGAAAAUGACAAGCCCAUAUCAGUCAAUUCAUUGAGUCCUCUACCAAACUGUGACUAAAUAGAAGAACCAAAGUUCAAACAGGGAUCUAAUACCAGAAUUCGUGCUCUUGCAGUAUGUUUUAAACCCUUUAACUCAGUUUACAUUUAUACUUUGUCCUUGACUUUUUUUCUCUCAG